RNAcentral lists this ribosomal RNA (587 nucleotides) under uncultured Actinomycetes bacterium. Its description in RNAcentral is "bacterial SSU rRNA". It matches the Rfam family "Bacterial small subunit ribosomal RNA", at positions 224 to 823 of the family's 1533-position model. Lineage: Bacteria; Bacillati; Actinomycetota; Actinomycetes. The record is from RNAcentral.
GAUGGACUCGCGGCCUAUCAGCUUGUUGGUGAGGUAGUGGCUCACCAAGGCGACGACGGGUAGCCGGCCUGAGAGGGCGACCGGCCACACUGGGACUGAGACACGGCCCAGACUCCUACGGGAGGCAGCAGUGGGGAAUAUUGCACAAUGGGCGAAAGCCUGAUGCAGCGACGCCGCGUGAGGGAUGACGGCCUUCGGGUUGUAAACCUCUUUCAGCAGGGAAGAAGCGCAAGUGACGGUACCUGCAGAAGAAGCACCGGCUAACUACGUGCCAGCAGCCGCGGUAAUACGUAGGGUGCGAGCGUUGUCCGGAAUUAUUGGGCGUAAAGAGCUUGUAGGUGGUUUGUCGCGUCUGCUGUGAAAAUCCGGGGCUCAACCCCGGACUUGCAGUGGGUACGGGCAGACUAGAGUGUGGUAGGGGAGACUGGAAUUCCUGGUGUAGCGGUGGAAUGCGCAGAUAUCAGGAGGAACACCGAUGGCGAAGGCAGGUCUCUGGGCCAUUACUGACACUGAGAAGCGAAAGCAUGGGGAGCGAACAGGAUUAGAUACCCUGGUAGUCCAUGCCGUAAACGUUGGGAACUAGGUGU